This 23-nucleotide microRNA is filed under the name Gossypium hirsutum (cotton). Its description in RNAcentral is "ghr-miR7497". Lineage: Eukaryota; Viridiplantae; Streptophyta; Magnoliopsida; Malvales; Malvaceae. The record is from miRBase by way of RNAcentral.
ACAUGUGGACUGUCAUAUGGGUU